Molecule: ribosomal RNA, 492 nt
Filed under: uncultured bacterium
Lineage: Bacteria
Description: partial 16S ribosomal RNA
Rfam family: Bacterial small subunit ribosomal RNA
Source: RNAcentral
AGUGAACGCUGGCGGUAGGCCUAACACAUGCAAGUCGAACGGCAGCACAGUAAGAGCUUGCCAUUACGGGUGGCGAGUGGCGGACGGGUGAGGAAUACAUCGGAAUCUACUUUUUCGUGGGGGAUAACGUAGGGAAACUUACGCUAAUACCGCAUACGACCUACGGGUGAAAGCAGGGGAUCUUCGGACCUUGCGCGAUUGAAUGAGCCGAUGUCGGAUUAGCUAGUUGGCGGGGUAAAGGCCCACCAAGGCGACGCUCCGCAGCUGGUCUGAGAGGAUGAUCAGCCACACUGGAACUGAGACACGGUCCAGACUCCUACGGGAGGCCGCAGUGGGGAAUAUUGGACAAGGGGCGCAAGCCUGAUCCAGCCAUACCGCGUGGGUGAAGAAGGCCUUCUGGUUGUAAAGCCCUUUUGUUGGGAAAGAAAAGCAGCAGGUUAAUACCCCGCUGUUCUGACGGUACCCAAAGAAUAAGCACCGGCUAACUUCGUG